CCCAAAAUCAACACAAAACCCUUUAUUACUACUGAAUGACCCCAUAACCCUAUGGGGGACCUCAUGCUAGAACUAGUAACAAGAAUUAGAUAUUCUCCAAAAUGCACGUGUACGCCAUAAUGAACCACUCACCGGCAAUUACCGCCAAUGAACCAAAAGUAAUAACCCACCAAGAAAACUUUACUUAACAAAGCGUUAACCUAACACAAGAGCAUUUCCAGAAAGAUUAAAAGAGCGGGAAGGAACUCGGCAAAUAUUAGCCUCGCCUGUUUACCAAAAACAUCGCCUCCUGACUUAUUAUAGGAGGUCCAGCCUGCCCAGUGACCCAGUUAAACGGCCGCGGUACCCUAACCGUGCGAAGGUAGCGCAAUCACUUGUUCUUUAAAUGAGGACUAGUAUGAAUGGCAUCACGAAGGCUACACUGUCUCCCCCCUCCAAUCAGUGAAACUGAUCUCCCCGUGAAGAAGCGGGGAUAAAACCAUAAGACGAGAAGACCCCAUGGAGCUUAAAACUCAGUUUCACCUGCACACCAAUAUAUCACAUCAACCCUGCAGACCUGCUUACUAGUUUUCGGUUGGGGUGACCAUGGAGCAAAACAAAACCUCCACGACGAAAGGACAUCUCCCUAAUCCAAGAGCAACAACUCUAAGAAUCAAAAAAUUGACGUUACUUGAUCCAAGUUUAUUUGAUCAACGAACCAAGUUACCCUGGGGAUAACAGCGCAAUCCAUUUCAAGAGCUCCUAUCGACAAAUGGGUUUACGACCUCGAUGUUGGAUCAGGGUAUCCUAGUGGUGCAGCCGCUACUAAAGGUUC
RNAcentral lists this ribosomal RNA (814 nucleotides) under Phrynomantis bifasciatus (banded rubber frog). RNAcentral's name for it is "partial 16S rRNA". It matches the Rfam family "Bacterial large subunit ribosomal RNA", at positions 1619 to 2574 of the family's 2925-position model. Lineage: Eukaryota; Metazoa; Chordata; Amphibia; Anura; Microhylidae. The record is from RNAcentral.